This 466-nucleotide ribosomal RNA is filed under the name uncultured bacterium. RNAcentral describes it as "partial 16S ribosomal RNA". It matches the Rfam family "Bacterial small subunit ribosomal RNA", at positions 28 to 507 of the family's 1533-position model. The record is from RNAcentral.
GAUGAACGCUGGCGGCGUGCUUAACACAUGCAAAUCGAACGGAAAGGCCACAGCUUGCUGUGGUACUCGAGUGGCGAACGGGUGAGUAACACGUGGGUGAUCUGCCCUGUACUUCGGGAUAAGCUUGGGAAACUGGGUCUAAUACCGGAUAGGAAUCACAUGUGGGUGUGUGGUUGGAAAGCUUUUGCGGUAUGGGAUGAGCUCGCGGCCUAUCAGCUUGUUGGUGGGGUAAUGGCCUACCAAGGCGUCGACGGGUAGCCGGCCUGAGAGGGUGUACGGCCACAUUGGGACUGAGAUACGGCCCAGACUCCUACGGGAGGCAGCAGUGGGGAAUAUUGCACAAUGGGCGCAAGCCUGAUGCAGCGACGCCGCGUGGGGGAUGACGGCCUUCGGGUUGUAAACUCCUUUCGUCAGGGACGAAGCGAAAGUGACGGUACCUGGAUAAGAAGCACCGGCUAACUACGUG